Molecule: transfer RNA, 72 nt
Filed under: Candidatus Woesearchaeota archaeon
Lineage: Archaea; Nanobdellati; Candidatus Woesearchaeota
Description: tRNA-Arg
Rfam family: tRNA
About the family: Transfer RNA (tRNA) molecules are approximately 80 nucleotides in length. Their secondary structure includes four short double-helical elements and three loops (D, anti-codon, and T loops). Further hydrogen bonds mediate the characteristic L-shaped molecular structure. tRNAs have two regions of fundamental functional importance: the anti-codon, which is responsible for specific mRNA codon recognition, and the 3' end, to which the tRNAs corresponding amino acid is attached (by aminoacyl-tRNA synthetases). tRNAs cope with the degeneracy of the genetic code in two manners: having more than one tRNA (with a specific anti-codon) for a particular amino acid; and 'wobble' base-pairing, i.e. permitting non-standard base-pairing at the 3rd anti-codon position.
Source: RNAcentral
GGGCCCGUAGCAUAAUGGAUAGUGCGGUCGGCUUCGGACCGAUUGGUCGGGGUUCGAAUCCCUGCGGGCUCG